AACGAACGCUGGCGGCAUGCCUAACACAUGCAAGUCGAACGAGACCUUCGGGUCUAGUGGCGCACGGUUUCGUAACGCGUGGGAACCUGCCCUUAGGUUCGGAAUAACUCCCCGAAAGGGGUGCUAAUACCGGAUAAUGUCUUCGGACCAAAGAUUUAUCGCCUUUGGAUGGGCCCGCGUUGGAUUAGCUAGUUGGUAGGGUAAAAGCCUACCAAGGCGACGAUCCAUAGCUGGUCUGAGAGGAUGAUCAGCCACACUGGGACUGAGACACGGCCCAGACUCCUACGGGAGGCAGCAGUGGGGAAUAUUGGACAAUGGGCGAAAGCCUGAUCCAGCAAUGACGCGUGAGUGAUGAAGGCCUUAGGGUUGUAAAGCUCUUUUAACCGGGAUGAUAAUGACAGUACCGGGAGAAUAAGCGCCGGCUAACUCCGUG
Molecule: ribosomal RNA, 433 nt
Filed under: uncultured bacterium
Lineage: Bacteria
Description: partial 16S ribosomal RNA
Rfam family: Bacterial small subunit ribosomal RNA
Source: RNAcentral